CCAGCUUUGGGAGUUGGUGAUAGAGGUUUAAUCCUCUCUUUCUGA
This 45-nucleotide transfer RNA is filed under the name Strigops habroptila (Kakapo). RNAcentral's name for it is "partial tRNA-Pro". The record is from RNAcentral. Lineage: Eukaryota; Metazoa; Chordata; Aves; Psittaciformes; Psittacidae.